AAUAAAAAUAUGAAGGAUGAUGACCUCUCCAUGAAACAAAAUGGAAAUGAUCUAUCACAAAUAAAUCUCAGCCAACAUGCUAAUGGGCCUCUCGAGCAGAUACAAGAGACGGGGUAAAGUAAAUUAUAUUAUUAGUGACUCAAAAAGUGGAUUAAAACACUGUGCGGGAAACAGAGUGACUGAUUAAUAUGUAGUUUACAUGUUAACUCAAAAAGUCAGAAUGAAAUAAGAAGUCAGAAUGAAAGCAAGACUUUUAAAACAGGUCAGACAACUAAACUAAUGCUUCACCCUAUGACUGUUUUUAAUGAGAGUAAUUUCUAAGAGAAACUUGUCUUUACAUGUAUAUAUGGAGUAAUUAUUUCCCCUCAGUACAUUUAUAAAAUGAAGCUAUCAUGAAACACCCCUAAAUUAAAUAAAAUGACUUUAGUUUUGGGCAUGUGAAUUUUUGGCAUCACUUCGAGGUGAAAUGGAUUUAUGAUCUCUCUCCUGCCUGCUAAAGGUACAACUAUGCAAUGACCCUACAACUGCUGGGCUUGGAUGACGGCACUGAGCCCAGUGAUAGGAAUCCUGUCCUGAUGAGAGGUGCCUACUUGUCUUUUCUGUAUCUGCGCCAUCUUCGAAUCAGAGAACUGCAGGUAUGUGGAUGGCAGGCAUCAGAAAUGUCUGCUUGUCUAGAAAAGAGGAUUUUCUGCUAUUCCAAUAGCAAAUGCCAUUUUAUGCUUUUGCCCUUUGUUCCUUUUUUUUUUUUUUUUUUUUUUUUUUUUUGUGUUCCUUUCUCCACAGUAGGGUUGAUCUGCCAUCAAGUUGUAUUCUGUAGGGUGAACUAGGCAAAGGGCAGGGAGCUGACUCUGUUCUUUCUUUGUUUCAGCGCAUCUGCUUAGGAAUUCUGAAUUAUUUCAGAUCUGUUGAGCGAACCCUGACAAUCAACACUUCGGGCCUUACCUUGGUUUCAGGGAAACUGGUCCCCACCAUGGCAGAUAGUUCCUGGGUAAAUAUGGCAAAAGGAGGUCUGGGCACCUCGCAGGGCCUGGGCGCUCACCACUAUGUCCAUGAGACGCCUGCUGAGCACAAGGUCCACGGCAUCCAAUUCAUGGAGUUCUCGGAAGUGGAGAACCAGGAUGACUACUACAGCACGGAAGCUGGCUGUAUCCACACCCAGGACCAGCAAGGGGUGCAUGUCAUGUAUGAGGAAGCCUUGAGUGAUCUCAAGGAACUAGAGGCAGAGUUGCUGCUUGUGGCUAGCCAUUACGUUGAGAAAGAAAGGGGUCACAAAGUGGGCAGCCAGCCAAAGAGUGGCCAGGACUGGGGAUGGGCCCAUGCAGGUGUGGACAGAUUUGCUGUGCUCUAUGACAUAUGGACUUGGGAAGCAGCUCUUCUGGAAAACAAGCGCCAGCUUCUUGACAAUUACUUUGAAGCCUACCAGCACACGUUGGACCCUGAGGAGAGGUUUGCCUUAGCACAAGUGAUGACGGACAUCGUGCACCGGCGCCCGAGGUUUGAUCUCAGCCACCCCUAUUUCGUUAAGGCCUACCGAGAGGAAUGCACCUGCCUGAGGCUUCACCUGCAGUUAGUGAGGGGCAUCCUCACCCAGCAGAUAGAACGUCAGCGGGAGUAUGUCCAGAGGAUUUGGCGAGAGGAUCAUCUGGACAAUAGCAAUACAUUUGGACUUCCCCUUAAUAUAGUUUGCAAACAACUUAUUUCCAUCAACAAUAGCUGCCCGGCUUCAAAAAAUAUUUAUCUGCUGGAGUUCCACCCUUCCCUCAGCCUGGUAGCGCUUAUCCCCAAAGCCCUAGAGCAUCUCUUCCAAGAGGCCUGCCGUGCCUACAGACCCACAUCAGCCAGUGGCCUCGCCUCCCUGGAGCGACAUGUCCUGCAGCUGGCCCUGGGCCUGUGGCUCACCCCAGCCACGCCUGAGGCCUGCUACAGUGCACAGCUCCAGAAAGAUCUGUUUUCAGCUAAAGUUAUGGGAGAUCCCUUUCUCGUGGGGGAGAUAGGCCUGCUGGCAUUCAAGUCUGCAGCAGACGAAGGACAGAAACAAGGCCAAGACUCUCAUGUGCUACUCUUGGAGAUGUUUUCCAAACUUCUGGAACUCUUGACCCUCCGCCACCGGCUGAUAGAAAUGAGCCUGGAGAGUGCACACUUAGCUCGGCUCUAUAAAGAAUUGGCAUGGGAGAUGGGUUUUGAAGAGUUCCAUCUGUAUCUGAGGCCUGUCCACUUUGAAUUUGCAUCACACAGGGACAGGGCAGACCAGCGACCUCCUGUCUUUAUAACCUCUCUGCUGGAGGACAGUGGUCGGGUAGACAGAUAUUCUCCUACUGCUCUUGUCUUAGCCAUCUCUGAGGUGGAUGAUAACCAAAUUGGCAAAUUUAGUUUUUACACAAAGGAAGCCAUUCUUAAGCUCUUGUUGCAUUCAGGAGUGGAAAAUAUGCAGGUGACUCUUGCUUGCCAAGCUGCUCAGAAAAAUGCUUUGAUGGUGGCUGUCCAGCAGGUGUACUUCUAUCACACCCCGCAAGGGAGCUGUCCUGCUAAUGUCGAGGAAAUAAGUUCAAAUCUGAGAACUCAUGGUGGAAUGGGCCCAACCAGAAGAAGACAGUCCAGAAUUGUGAAUGGCGUAGACGGCUCACUGAUAGCCCCAACUCCAAAAGUCCCAGCUGCUCUUACUCAUUCUCCAGAAAGAUUUCAGGCUACCAAAAGAUACUGUACCUGGUGA
This 2710-nucleotide long non-coding RNA is filed under the name Macaca nemestrina (pig-tailed macaque). RNAcentral's name for it is "lncRNA (ENSMNEG00000045901.1)". Lineage: Eukaryota; Metazoa; Chordata; Mammalia; Primates; Cercopithecidae. The record is from RNAcentral.